UACGUAGGGUGCAAGCGUUACUCGGAAUUACUGGGCGUAAAGCGUGCGUAGGUGGCUCGUUAAGUCUGAUGUGAAAGCCCUGGGCUCAACCUGGGAAUGGCAUUGGAUACUGGCGACCUAGAGUGCGGUAGAGGGGUGUGGAAUUCCCGGUGUAGCAGUGAAAUGCGUAGAUAUCGGGAGGAACAUCUGUGGCGAAGGCGACACCCUGGACCAGCACUGACACUGAGGCACGAAAGCGUGGGGAGCAAACAGG
This 253-nucleotide ribosomal RNA is filed under the name uncultured bacterium. RNAcentral's name for it is "partial 16S ribosomal RNA". It matches the Rfam family "Bacterial small subunit ribosomal RNA", at positions 524 to 776 of the family's 1533-position model. The record is from RNAcentral.